CCUACGGGUGGCAGCAGUAGGGAAUCUUUCACAAUGGGCGAAAGCCUGAUGGAGCAACGCCGCGUGCAGGAUGAAGGCCUUCGGGUUGUAAACUGCUUUUAUAAGCGAGAAAUAUGAUGGUAACUUAUGAAUAAGGAUCGGCUAACUACGUGCCAGCAGCCGCGGUCAUACGUAGGAUCCGAGCAUUAUCCGGAGUGACUGGGUGUAAAGAGUUGCGUAGGUGGCAUAAUAAGUAGCUAGUGAAAUCUGGUGGCUCAACCAUUCAGACUAUUAGCUAAACUGUUAAGCUCGAGACCGUUAGGGGUAACUGGAAUUUCUAGUGUAGGAGUGAAAUCCGUAGAUAUUAGAAGGAACACCAAUAGCGUAGGCAGCUUACCAAGCUACUUCUGACGUUGAGGCACGAAAGCGUGGGGAGCAAACAGGAUUAGAUACCCCUGUAGUC
This 442-nucleotide ribosomal RNA is filed under the name uncultured bacterium. Its description in RNAcentral is "partial 16S ribosomal RNA". It matches the Rfam family "Bacterial small subunit ribosomal RNA", at positions 338 to 795 of the family's 1533-position model. The record is from RNAcentral.